AGCCCACUUACCUCCUCGACAU
RNAcentral lists this microRNA (22 nucleotides) under Monodelphis domestica (gray short-tailed opossum). RNAcentral describes it as "mdo-miR-12300-5p". The record is from miRBase by way of RNAcentral. Lineage: Eukaryota; Metazoa; Chordata; Mammalia; Didelphimorphia; Didelphidae.